Long non-coding RNA from Caretta caretta (loggerhead turtle), 3033 nucleotides. RefSeq lists it as uncharacterized. NCBI's taxonomy places the organism in Eukaryota, Metazoa, Chordata, Testudines, Cheloniidae. The record is from RefSeq and is a predicted model, not a curated record.
CAAAAGUUGGAGAACCACUGGAUAAUCCAUUUGGUUCUUGGGCUGGAGGCACAACCCUAAAAGGAGACGCACGCGCUUUUGCCUCUCGUGUUCUCCGUUUUGCUCCGGCUGGUGGGGCUGCAGGGGUAGCUGCUGCCCCUGUCCCAGGCUGGCUAGGGGGAAGGGAGGGACAAGGACCCUGGGCUGGAAGCACUGGGAAUGAAUUCUCAGCCAAUCAGAUUGUGGGGCGUGACACCAGGAGCAUGGGCGAGGACAUGAAGCCAGAGAACUGGGUGGGGAAUGGAGGGGCAACAGCUCCGGAGCCCAUUGGGGUGGCAUUGGGACAGGGGUGCUUGGGAGAGACACCACUGGUCACAAUCCUGUAAGUGGGGAGUGGAUGAACACGAGUGAAUGUCACCACGUGCCUGAGGGAUCCCAGCAGGCCAGGGCCAAGGACUGAAGUGAGAUCCCUCCAUCUGGUCCCUCCAGGGCGUGGUGAGGGGAUAUAAGGGGGGAAUCCUGAUACGGGGACCCCACAACCGGUUCUAAACAAUGGAGGCAAUGUCGUGACUGACAGGUCUGGGAGGAACUGUCUGAGCUCCCCUUAGAGAGAAGCUUGCCACGUUCAGACAAUCUGCAUGGGGCCAGGAGGUGACCAGCCCUGCAAACCAGCUGCUGAGCCACCCCAGAGGGGCCUGGUCCCAACCCAGCGCUCGCCCGGAGCCCAGAUGGAUCCAGCAGCUUCUCCCUCUGCCGGGGCACCGCAGCCCACAGGGCAUCUUCAUGGCAGGAUGGGCCUGGCACAGCCCCAGAUCCAGCCAGCCGGAGCGGGGUGGAAGCUCCUCCCGCCCCACAGGGACCCCUUGCUGCAGCUGUCGUGAGCCCCUGCCUUCGCUUGGAGCUCUCGCCGCCGCCGGGGAGGGGCUGCUGCUGCUGACUCUGCUCUGAGCUCUGCCUGAGGAUGGGGGAGAUGCACUCGGCCCCUGGAGGGGUCAGGAACCGAAGAUUUCAACCAUGCUUCGUGCCUUGCUGUGAACAUCACAUUGCAGCUGCCAUUGGGAGAUGCUGUUAGGGGUCACUACAGAGCAGCGGAUGGCCAAAGAGCCAGUCCCCUGCUCCCAACAGAGCCCCAGGAUGACCCCAAGAGCAGCGAUGUGGGGGAGAUGGAAGUGGAAGAGAUGGGAGAACAAGAGGACGAGGAGAUGGACGUGGAUUAGAACAUCGCUCUGAAUCUGAUCUGUAUAGUGCUGGAUGUGUAUAUGGACCAUAGGAUGUGCCCCUAUAGGAGGGGCACUGUUUACAGACCUAAACCUCUCAGGGAUUUUUUAAAAUAUAUUUUAUUAUUACGUUCUCCUUUGCACUUACAAGCUUUGAGCAGAUUUGGGGAUUAAUGAAUGUUCCGUUUCCAGUGAUGUCACUGUGUCGACAACUCUGGGAUUCGGACACGAUACGGGUACAGUAGGGUAAGGUGCAUCAAAUCUCUUCAAUCCAGACAGCGUGAUCCGAGAGCAGACGAACGACCGGCAGGCUUUGUGCUGACCUGGUGUGAGUCAGAGCAGCCUUGAGGCUGCUGUAACAUUCUGCUCCCCAUAGGCCCAGGAGCAGAGCACAUGCCGAGCCUUCACAACAGCCAGGGAGAUGCCUUGUGCAGGGGAAUUUUCAAGGGCUGUUUACACCCAUUUUAAAUCCCCUUUGCCUCCCAGAGUUACUUAAUGGGGCAGAAUGUGACUGACUUCAGAUUUUUCACAAAUUGGCUGUUUUCUGCGGAAAGUUCUUUUUGUUGUUUUUUUUACCACCACCCCCAAUGUCUGAAAAACAAAAUAUUUGCACUAAACCAAAAACAUUUCAAUCUGUAGAGCCUGCUGGGAUGCUGCAAGGGAGCUGUGGUCCAGGUGUCUCAUGUCCCCAUUCUGCUCUGGGGGGGGACUCUCCUCAUUCUGGUUGGCUGGACUACAUCUCCCAUGAUGCACCAUAGUCAGAGACACCCACGAUACAGCUGGCUCCCCUCACCUUGAGGAGAGACUGUGGUGCACUGUAGGAGAUGCAGUCAGAUCAAGAAACCACCAAGCCUCCUGAGAAAAAUGCACCAUGUUAUAUGUUGUUUCAUGUCAUGAAAUAUUUCAGUUCAAUGUAAUCCUACCAGGGUACCAUGUGGCCUCAUGGCAGCAUUACAUUGAACUGAAAUAUUUUGGUUUUCAACUUUUUGCCUAAAAGUGUAACUUUCUGUAGAAAAUUUCAGUGAAAAUUAUUCCCCCCCACACAUUUUUAUCAGUUUGCCAUGGUGGGGGGACCCACUUUUUCCAACCAGCACUGCCCGUGCCAUCUGCUUACCCAGCUGAACCCUAGAGGGAGGGUGUUACAAUAGCUGGAAUGGGGGUGCAACAGUGGGCAUAUCUCUGUAAACACUCCUGACUGUGCAAAGCUGUUUGAAUGGUGGAUUCUUGUUCUUGAAACACUGGAGAUGAGAGCUGGUCGAAAUGUUUCAAUGGUUUUUUCAAUAAAAAGCUUUUUUUUCCAACAGUGAGAUUUUUCAUGCACAGUUGUCGACCUUUUAGUUUGUUUGCCAAAAAUAAAUAUUUUAAUACUUUUUGAUAAUUUCCAAAACGCAGAGCAAAAAUACUGGUUUGCUGAAAAAGUGGAUUUUGGCAAACAAAAUAAAUAACUGUUUUGGAUUAAACAUUCGAACAAAAAUGAAGAAAAAUGGGUUUGUUUCAAACACAUUGAAAUGAAAACAACUUUGCCACUGUGCAUGAAAAUGGCUUUUUGUAUUUUGACCAGCUCUACUAGAGGCCACACUGUUAACAGUCUUCGUUGUUUUAAAAGAUAUAUCCUAGCAGGGGCAUUAAAACCUGGCAUAGGGAUCUGAAUGCACUGUGAUUUGUACGUCUGUGCAGUAUUGCUACAUACCAGAUGUUUCUAUUCUUCUGAUGAUUUAUGACACUGGAAAGCAAGGGAUUGUGUUGUAGAAAACCCAGGGUUUUGAACCAGAUGCUUUUAAGACGAAUGUAUUUCUUUAUUUUGAGGUGUAAAAAUACACUUUUAUUUGUUCUGUCA